Molecule: transfer RNA, 90 nt
Filed under: Cryomyces minteri
Lineage: Eukaryota; Fungi; Ascomycota; Dothideomycetes
Rfam family: tRNA
About the family: Transfer RNA (tRNA) molecules are approximately 80 nucleotides in length.
Source: Rfam by way of RNAcentral
GUUCCGCUGGCGCAAUGGUAGCGCGCCAGACUUCUAAAAACUCCAUCGCAGUUCAUCUGGAGGCUGUGGGUUCGAGUCCCACGCGGAAUG